UAGAGUUUUUAACUCCCAACCCGUGUGAACUAUACCUAUGUUUUUGCUGUACUGUUGCUUUUGGCCGGUGGUUUCCUGGCAACAGGGGCCCGCAAGGCUGUCAGGCGCUCUUUCGGGGCGUCUCGGCACCGGCCAAAGGUAGCUGUUUCGGCGGUUUAUUUAAACGCUUGCUUGCAAUGGCUCGUCUGAGCACUAAAGAAAAGACAAAUAGUCA
RNAcentral lists this unclassified non-coding RNA (214 nucleotides) under Graphilbum kesiyae. RNAcentral describes it as "internal trancribed spacer 1". The record is from RNAcentral. Lineage: Eukaryota; Fungi; Ascomycota; Sordariomycetes; Ophiostomatales; Ophiostomataceae.